GCUGUUAUGGCUCAGUGCAGAGCAUCCUCCUCAGUUCAUUCAUCUCCAAAAAAUGCUGUGAGGAAAGAGUGGGUUCGAAUCCCACCAGCAGCA
Non-coding RNA from Mycena leptocephala, 93 nucleotides. Lineage: Eukaryota; Fungi; Basidiomycota; Agaricomycetes; Agaricales; Mycenaceae. The record is from the annotation of a GenBank genome assembly.